Phalacrocorax carbo (great cormorant) is the source of this 3574-nucleotide non-coding RNA. The record is from RefSeq and is a predicted model, not a curated record. Lineage: Eukaryota; Metazoa; Chordata; Aves; Suliformes; Phalacrocoracidae.
UGCCGCCUCAGCCUCCACCGCCGGCCCCGCCCACCACCUCCCCUACGGACCAAUCGACGGGCGGUUUGACGGGACGGCCACCAAUGGAACGCGCGCCGCUUCGCCCCGCCCCAUGGGGGUUUGAAUUGCCGCGCGCGCGCACAACGGCCGUCGCGGGAGGCGGUCGCGGCUCUUGUCAGCGGCGGCCGGUCGCCUUCCCGCCUCGUCGGCCCCGCGUCGUGCCCUGAGGGCUUCCCACCAUCAACACCACCACCCAUCGCCGCCGGUGGUGCCCGGGGUCCCCUCUCGCACCGGCGGAGGGGAGGUCAGCCGCGGGCAAAGCCCGCCUCGGAGGGGGAAGACCCGCGAGAGCCGACCUGCUUAGUGUGUCCUGUGCUGUAGAAGCAUUGGCAAAACGUUAGAUGGCCUGGACCAGUGCCUGCUUCCACCAUCAUCCUGACCCCACAGCUGAUGGGAAGAGCAGCUUCUCCAGUGCCACUACCCAGACAAGAAGCUUUUCCAGCCCUACCAGCCGACAUGCCCCCAGGGGGGUGAAGCAGCAGCUGCCCCAGUCCUUGGGGGAUUUAGAGUGUGCUGUCUGCUUCCAGCCUUGCUCGUCAUUGCUGCAGAGCUACUUGUGGUCAUGCUCGUACCUCGGGGCACAAGGAAGAGGUUGAAAUCUCAGAUGAGCACGGGAAGGUCAGCAUGGGAAGGACCUGGAGGAAGCUGCUGUGCGAAGGACCAUCCCGUGGGGUUUCAGAGCUCAGGAUGGCCCCACUGACUUGUCCCUUUGCUCUUUGGCAAUCGACUGGCUCGUUUGCGAUGAGCAGUGAUGAUCUGAUCAUUUGUACUCUCAUUUCUUGUGUUUUACUGCCAGGUAAAGCACUUGUACUAUAAAAUCCAGGACUUCAAAGACCCUGUAAUGACUGCAAAAUGAAAUAUAAAAAUAACUCCUCAAGUGCAGCUAUGUAUAAAUCAUCGGUAGCACGGCCACAGCACGGGCUCGCGCUUCCAGCUGAGGGAAAGUCCUCAAGGUCCCGACAGAGCAAUCAAGAAAAGAUUGUGGAGUUGAAAGUAGAUGAGGGACAUGAUGAGCUGUAAAUCCUCUGGAGCCGUUGGGGCCGACAGUAGCAAGACACGGCUGUGCCUCUCCCCAGCUUUGUUCUGGCUGCGCCCACGCAAGGUCUCGCGUUGUUCUUGGCGACUUUCCCUUACAAGCAAAGGGAAGAGAAAUGGGCAGGCUGGUCCAGACGCAACCGCCAGCCUGCAGCCCCUGAGAAUUACACUGGCAAUCAUUUCUGACUGUGGGAGCCUGCUGCAGAGAUGCUAGAUGGACUGGCUGGGUCGGUGGCUUGUUGAUUCAGUUCAAUUUAUUUUGUCAUUUAGGACUCUUAGCAUUUUGAAAUGAUCAUUUCAAACGAGGUUGGUGCUUGUGAAUGAGGGGCUUGCAGCAGAGCUGAGCUCCCGCGGCUCUGGCUGCGUGGGGGAUUGGAGGGUGGGACUGGUGUACACACGGGACCCGAAUCCAAGAGGGCAAACUCAGUGAUUCCCCACAUCCCAGGGGAAAUCGGUGCGACUCUGAGGCCUUGCGCAGCCUGCCGGUGUUUUCAGAGGUGCCAAGGCCUUUGAGGGUGCUGCGGGUGCCCUGUGCGGGGAGGAGAGGGAGACGGUUCGCAGAGCGGGACAGCUUGCUUUGCCACGCUUCUCUGCACAGAGCGUGGGUGAAGUCCUCGGGGAGGAUUUUGUUGACAGAUCUUAAAAGCGUCUCAGACUAGAGCUGCUCUGGAGAAUGUUGUCUCCAUUCUCUGCGUGCUUCAUCCCUUGGGCAUGCUGAGUGACUCGGAAGACCCUGGAGAUGUGCCCAGUGUGCCUCUGCCGCCAGUUCUGCGGCCUGUUUUUUUGUGCUGCUGAUCGAAUCCCGGUGUGGGUAGCGGCUGCCGCUGCUGUCUGGGUGCCGAACAGCGGGCGGCGGGGAGGGUUUGGAGGGGAGAGGUUGUAAUGCUGACAACCUUAGUGCUGCAAGACAAAAAACCUUAACACAAACCCAUCUAACGGGCUCGCCUCGCUGGAGGGUUACUGCUACGGCGCAGCUGGGACGUGGACGUCGGUCACACCUUUCAGGGACGCACAUCUCGGCGAAGGGCAGCAGGGCAGGCUUUUGGGGGGGGUGGCCUGAAGUCACGCAUGAUUUUUCUCUUCCUCUGUGAAGGCUGUGAGAUACCAGAAGUGUCACCCAAGGAGGGCCCGCUCCUCUUUGGAGUAUGGAUUCCUAAAUUCCUCAAUUUAAAUGCAAAUUCAGAGCCGCUUGAUUAUGCCAUGCAUCAGAGAAGCUUUUGGACAGUGAACAGCUUGUAAUAAUCAGCUACACAUCCCUCAAUACAGAUAUUAUCUGCUGUUGCGAUAUGGCUGCGUGCCUCUGCAGAAAGCAGAGUGGUUCAGAAUGACCCUCCUUUUCCCUCUUUCUCCUUUUGCCUCCAUUGAAAAUUGCUCUCAUUAGCUCCUUGUGCCGUCCAGGUUGAUUAAAAAGGUUUCAAUCUGCUUUGCGAUAACAGGAAUAAUGUUUUUGGAGGCGCUUUGCAUGCUAAUGGUCUUCUGAGCCUGAAAUGCUGCUGUUCAGAACGCCUGCAGCUUCAGGAAGGGCUUGUAUUUCUUCUUGACGCCUUGCUCUUAUGGAACCAGAAUAUUUUUUGUUGGGAGGCUUAUAAUUGCCUGGCUUAUAACUUCCUUGUAGGAAAAGGGAAGGGGGAAAGCAGGAGCGGGGUGGCACAGCUGUGGGUGUGUUAGCUGUGGCCCACGGGAAGCUCAUCCUGGUUGGGAUCUCCGUCCUGGGAUAUCUUCCAGGAUGAAGCCCUGAUCUUGUGUAGUGAGAGCACGGGUCACACCGGGCAUUCCUAGAGCCUUCUGUGACACACUUCCCUGCCCAUCAAAUUAGUAAUUGACUUUUAAUCAAGCCCAUUACAGUUUUCGCCACACUUGAGCAUCCUAUUUAAGCAAUCAUCACUCUCACCUGCUCCCUUCCUUUCCUUAGGAGCUUCUCAGGUAUUUGCCUCUCGCCAAUCCAAAGGCAUGUCCUUUUGACUUGGUUACUUGGCACCAAGAAUAGCCAAACUACAGUUUAAUCUCAUUUCACGCUUGCAACAACCGGACGGGGUUGAUUUUUGAAUCGCUGCUGCAGGUUCUCAAAUCUUUCAUUAGCUAAUGCUUGAUUCAUUUAGUUCAGUAAUAAAAAGUAAUUGCUUGUCUAAACAACCAGACACCGCUUCUCUGUGGCCUGUAAUUCUCUACCAAGCAGCCCUGUUUGGGGCGGGGAAACCAAAAUCUGCUGCAGUCUGCACCGAAACUGAAGUGGGGAGCUUGUGAACUGGAAUGAAGAGUUUGGAGAAUCCACUUUCCCCCGUUUCCUCCGCUUUAAACUCAAGUUGUUUCUCUUGGAGCUCCAGCGAUCCAACAGACUGGUGCUAUGGAAACCCCAGUUCACGUACUGGUACAUAGCUGCAAGCAAUUAACCAUCUUUAAUUUUCAUUUUCAGGGGAUAUUUUUGACUUGGGUAUUAAGCAAACAUUUAUGCAAAACACCGUGGAAUCCAUAAAUGUUA